CAAAACGACUCUCGGCAACGGAUAUCUAGGCUCUCGCAUCGAUGAAGAACGUAGCGAAAUGCGAUACUUGGUGUGAAUUGCAGAAUCCCGCGAAUCAUCGAGUUUUUGAACGCAAGUUGCGCCCGAAGCCAUUCGGCCGAGGGCACGUCUGCCUGGGUGUCACG
This 164-nucleotide ribosomal RNA is filed under the name Fagus grandifolia subsp. mexicana. RNAcentral's name for it is "5.8S ribosomal RNA". It matches the Rfam family "5.8S ribosomal RNA". From Rfam's summary of the family: 5.8S ribosomal RNA (5.8S rRNA) is a component of the large subunit of the eukaryotic ribosome. It is transcribed by RNA polymerase I as part of the 45S precursor that also contains 18S and 28S rRNA. Functionally, it is thought that 5.8S rRNA may be involved in ribosome translocation. The record is from RNAcentral. Lineage: Eukaryota; Viridiplantae; Streptophyta; Magnoliopsida; Fagales; Fagaceae.